This is a long non-coding RNA of Homo sapiens (human), 3230 nucleotides long. RefSeq lists it as uncharacterized. NCBI's taxonomy places the organism in Eukaryota, Metazoa, Chordata, Mammalia, Primates, Hominidae. The transcript is spliced from 2 exons. The record is from RefSeq and is a predicted model, not a curated record.
AGAGCAAGACUCCGUCUCAAAAAAAAAAAGAAAAGAAAAAAAAAAAGAUCUGAUAGUUGAAAGGUGUGUGGUGGUCUCCCCCCUGCCCUCUGCCACCUCUCCUGCUGCAAUGUAAGACGUGCCCUGCUUCCCAUUUCACCAUGAUUGUAAGUUUCCUGAGGCAUCCCCACCCAUGUGAAACUGUGAGUCAAUUAAAGCUUUUUUUUUUUUUUUCCAGAGUCUCCCUCUGUCGCCCAGGCUGGAGCGGAGUGGCGUGAUCUCGGCUCACUGCAACCUCCGCCCCCGGGUUUAAGCAAUUCUCCUGCCUCAGCCUCCAGAGGAGCUGUGAUUACACAUGCUUGCCACCACGCCCGGCUAAUUUUUGUAUUUUCAGUAGAGAUGGGGUUUCACCACGUUAGCCAGGCUGGUCUCGAACUCCUGACCUCGUGAUCAGCCCAACUCGGCCUCCCGAAUUGCUAGGAUUAUAGGCGUGAGCCACCACACCCUACCAAGCUUUUUCCUUUAUAAAUUACCCAGUCACAGGUAGUUAUUAUUUUUUUUUUUUUGAGACAGAGUCUUGCUCUGUUGCCCAGGCUGGAGUGCCAUGGUGUGAUCUCAGCUACUGCAACCUCGGCUUCCUAGAUUCAAGCCAUUCUCCUGCCUCAGCUUCCCAAGUAGCUAGGAUUACAAGCAUGCGCCACCACGCCCAGCUAAUUUUUGUAUAUUUAGUAGAGAUGGAGUUUCAUUCACCAUGUUGGCCAGAUUGGUGUUGAACUGACCUCAGGUGAUCCACCCACCUUGACCUCCCAAACUGCUGGGAUCAUAGGCAUGAGCCACUGCACUCAGCCUCACGUAGUUCUUUGUUGUUGUUGUUUUGUUGCUGUUGUUGUUUUUUCAGACGAAGUCUCACUCUUGUCCCCCAAGCUGGAGUACAAUGGCGCGAUCUCGGCUCACUGCAACCUCCGCCUCCCGGGUUCAAGCAAUUCUCCUGCCUCAGCCUCCCGAGUAGCUGGGAUUAUAGGCGCCUGCCACCAUGCCCGGCUAAUUUUUGUAUUUUAAGUAGAGACGGGGGUUUCACCAUUUUGGCCAGGCUGGUCUCGAACUCCUGACCUCAGGUGAUCCGCCCGCCUCGGCCUCCCAAAGUGCUGGGAUUACAAGUGUGAGCCACCGUGCCCGGCCGGCCUCAGGUAGUUCUUUAUAGCAGUGUGAAAAUGGAGUAAUAGAGAGCUGAGGCAGGAGGAUCACCUGAGGCCAGGAGGUGAGGCUGCAUGAGCUGUGACUGCACCACUGCACUCCAGCCUGGGUGACAAAGUGAGACCCUAUCUCAAAAAAACAAAACAAAAGACAUAUUUAUUUUAAAAAUAAAUAAAUAAACUUUGUAGGACUUUGUUUAGACAUGUUUACCAUAUGACAUAUGUGUCUUUAGAACAGCGUCCAGCAUCUUGUAGAAGGACAAUCAUUACAAAGUUCAAGCACGUUCUGCUUUAAACACACCUAUUGUGCCACACUAAAAUCUGAAUUUGUGAAUAAAUGAACUAAAACAAUCAUAUUAUAAAACUACACAGGACUUUAAAGCGUCAUGUAGGAUGUGACUUUUUUAUUACAGGCUCCCAUAAUGUAUUUAGAAAUAUGACUCAGGAUCUAUCCAUGAUAACAGUCAGUAUAGGAUAAACAAGUUAGUAAUUUAUGUUUAAUAAUGUAUUCUAUUUAUUUUAUUUUAUUUUAUUUUUUGAGCUGGAGUCUCACUCUGUUGCCCAGGCUGGAGUGCAGUGGCACGAUCUCAGCUCACUGCAAGCUCCGCCUCCCGGAUUCAAGCGAUUCUCCUGCCUCAGCCUCCCGAGUAGCUGGGACUACAGAUGGAGUUUCGCUCUUGUUGCCAGGCUGGAGUACAGUGGCCUGAUCUCGGCUCACUGCAACCUCUGCCUCCUGGGUUUAAGCAAUUCUCCUGCCUUAGCUUCCUCCUGAGUAGCUUGGAUUACAGGCAUGCGUCACCAUGCCCGGCUAAUAUUGUAUUUUAAUAGAGACGGGAUUUCACCAUGUUGGCCAGGCUGGUCUCGAAGUCCUGACCUCAAGUGAUCCGCCCGCCUCAUCCUCUCAAAGUGCUGGGGUUACAGGCAUUAGCCCUCACGCCUGGCCAAAUGCAGUCUUUUCACCACCUUUUUGGAUCACAGAAAAUGACCAUGAAGCUAUGGAAAAAAGGGAGAGUUGAAUUUAAGAUUAGCUGUCAGCCCAUCUUUCAUUAGCCAUUUCUCUAAUCCAGUCUUGAAUUUUCCUCUUUCUAGUAAUAUGGAGGGUAGCACUAUGUUCAAAGCGGCCACUGGGGAUUUAGGUAUUUUAAUAUCUGUACUAUGUUUCUAGAUAAGUAAAAUAACCAGGUGAAUUUAUCAGCCCACAGUGAACCUGGGGAACAGUUUAUUGAACUAGUGCCCUUAAGUAGAGGACAUUCUCAACAUUGCUAAGUUUAUCUCCCAUUCCCUAUAUCAUGGAAUGAGAGAAAUUUGGAGAAAAAAUUUCUAUUUCCUAAUCUCAGCUUUUUUUUUUUUUUUUUUUCCGAGACAGAGUAUCGAGCUGUCGCCCAGGCUGGAGUGCAAUGGCAUGAUCUUGGCUCACUGCAACCUCUGCCUCCCGCGUUCUAAGUGAUUCUCCUUCCUCAGCCUCCCGAAUAGCUGGGAUUAUAGGCACGCACCAUCAUGCAUGGCUAAUUUUGUAUUUUUAGUAGAGAUGGGGUUUCCCCAUGUUGGCCAGGCUGGUCUCGAACUCCUGAUCUCAGGUUAUCCACCCGCCUCAGCCUCUCCAAGUGCUGGGAUUACAAGUGUGAGCCACCGCACCCCGCCCUAAUCUCAGCCUUUUUAUAUCUUCUUGGUAGGCCCACUUUUUGGCAUCCCCUAACAAGAAGUCCUCAGAGAUUUUUACUACUCAACAUGUGUGCGUCCCACUCAGAUGUAUUGUGUUCUUUCUGUUCACCCUCUACUUCCCAUUCCAUUUCUUCCUCUGACUUAGGGUUAGAAUGGCCCAAUGAUCCUACAACUUUUUGAUGCUAUUUCAUUUGAUUCCUCUACUGUCUAAAUCACAAGUUGGCUAACUUUACUUACUGUAAGGGAUCAGAUAGCAAAUAGUUUAGGCCUUGUGGGCCAUUCAAUCUGUCAUAACUACCCACUCUGACCAUAUGUAGUGCAAAAGCAGCCCUUGACAAUAUAUAAAUGAAUGAACGUGAAUGUAUUUCAAUAAAGCUUUACUUGUGGACACUGAAA